This 65-nucleotide microRNA precursor is filed under the name Danio rerio (zebrafish). RNAcentral describes it as "Dre-Mir-17-P4a2_pre stem-loop". It matches the Rfam family "mir-17 microRNA precursor family", at positions 11 to 70 of the family's 80-position model. From Rfam's summary of the family: This family represents the microRNA (miRNA) precursor mir-17, family, which includes mir-20, mir-91, and mir-103. miRNAs are transcribed as ~70nt precursors (modelled here) and subsequently processed by the Dicer enzyme to give a ~22nt product. In this case the mature sequence comes from the 3' arm of the precursor. The record is from RNAcentral. Lineage: Eukaryota; Metazoa; Chordata; Actinopteri; Cypriniformes; Danionidae.
UAAAGUGCUUAUAGUGCAGGUAGUUUGUGAAAAUCCUGAUCUACUGCAAUGUGAGCACUUCAAGU